GAUCCGCUAUUGUUUUGGCGGAUAGCGGCAGACUGGUGAGUAACACGUGAGUAAUUUACCUUUAAGUCGGGGAUAGCCUCGCGGAAGUGAGGGUAAUACCUGAUGUGCUUAUGGCGGCAUAAGCCGCUAUAAGUAAAGAUGGUUCGUAAGAGUUGUCGCUUAGAGAUGAGCUCGCGUCCUAUCAGCUAGUUGGUGAGGGUAACGGCCCACCAAGGCAAUUGACGGGUAGCUGGCCUGAGAGGGCGGUCAGCCACACGGGGACUGAGACACUGCCCCGACUCCUACGGGAGGCUGCAGUCGAGGAUCUUUAGCAAUGGGCGAAAGCCUGACUAUGCGACGCCGCGUGAGGGGUGAAGGUUUUCGGAUCGUAAACCUCUUUCAAUAGGGAAGAAAACUCUGCUUAACAAGCAGAACUGACGGUACCUAUAGAAGAAGCCACGGCCAACUCCGUGCCAGCAGCCGCGGUAAUACGGGGGUGGCGAGCGUUACUCGGAUUUAUUGGGUGUAAAGGGCAAGUAGGCGUCCCGAAAAGUUAGGAGUGAAAUCCUUUGGCUUAACCAAAGAACAGCUCCUAAAACUGGCGGGAUUGAGGCUGGAAGAGGAGAGCGGAAUUCCCGGUGUAAGGGUGAAAUCUGUAGAUAUCGGGAGGAACACCAGUGGCGAAAGCGGCUCUCUGGUCUAGAUCUGACGCUGAAUUGCGAAAGCUAGGGUAGCAAACAGGAUUAGAUACCCUGGUAGUCCUAGCCGUAAACGAUGAGCACUAGGUGUUGAGAGUUUACUUUCAGCGCCGCAAGAUAACUCGUUAAGUGCUCCACCUGGGGACUACGACCGCAAGGUUAAAACUCAAAGGAAUUGACGGGGGCUCACACAAGCGGUGG
This 878-nucleotide ribosomal RNA is filed under the name uncultured Omnitrophica bacterium. RNAcentral describes it as "bacterial SSU rRNA". It matches the Rfam family "Bacterial small subunit ribosomal RNA", at positions 68 to 935 of the family's 1533-position model. Lineage: Bacteria; Pseudomonadati; Candidatus Omnitrophota. The record is from RNAcentral.